CAACGUAGGAACGUACCCCAAAGUGAGGCAUAAGCACCAGAAAUGGUGUCUAAUACCGCAUGUGAUCUUCGGAUUAAAGCUUCGGCGCUUUGGGAACGGCCUGCGCAUGAUUAGCUUGUUGGUGAGGUAAUGGCUCACCAAGGCGAUGAUCAUUAGCUGGUCUGAGAGGAUGAUCAGCCAGACUGGGACUGAGAACGGCCCAG
Molecule: ribosomal RNA, 203 nt
Filed under: uncultured bacterium
Lineage: Bacteria
Description: partial 16S ribosomal RNA
Rfam family: Bacterial small subunit ribosomal RNA
Source: RNAcentral